Molecule: long non-coding RNA, 222 nt
Organism: Tupaia belangeri chinensis (Chinese tree shrew)
Lineage: Eukaryota; Metazoa; Chordata; Mammalia; Scandentia; Tupaiidae
Exons: 3
Source: RefSeq, a predicted model, not a curated record
GGAGUGAUGAAGAUACCUGUGAAAGGGAAGAUAAGACAACAAAUGAUAUAACUACAGAUAUCUCAAAUGGAAUUCUAAAAACACUGAAGCCAUUAGAAAGAAAAAACAAAAAAUCUACAAGAAAAAUACCAAAUCAUACACUGGCCAACAAAACGCUUUCAUUCUUCAUAAAAAGUUACACUCCUCAAGAAUAGAAACAACAAUGUGGAACAAAGACGACAU